This 2234-nucleotide long non-coding RNA is filed under the name Physcomitrium patens. RNAcentral's name for it is "long non-coding RNA (PPAT_LNC000112)". The record is from RNAcentral. Lineage: Eukaryota; Viridiplantae; Streptophyta; Bryopsida; Funariales; Funariaceae.
UCAUGUGAAUUCAUUUAAUCAUUAAUUACUUCCUUUGACAUUUGUUUUAACCUAGUAUCUUUUGUAACAAAACAUACAUUACCUUACUACUGGUCAUUUCUUUUCAGACUCGGGGGAAUCAUCUGCCGAACUAUCUAUGGAGACGUGGGCUUGAAAAAUCCACGUAUGUUCUGGAGAAGCAAAAAGACCAUGCCCUGUACAAAACCAUCGGGACGUAGGUAUUCCUGGACCCAAUCCAAUUGUGGACCGAAUCCAGUUAUGGAGGCAGAAGCACUGGGCUGCGAGGAAAAGAUAUGUGUUCUACGUUGCCAUUGACUCCUUGGCGGAAAAAGUUUAAAACAUGAAGGAUCUGCAGGAAGUUGGUGUUCUAAAUUUUGAAGCUCUCAGGUAGUAAAAAAAUCAGCAAGUCAUUGUUUCCCAAGGUCGUGGAGGAGGUCACUCUAUUACAACUGAUGAUUGACAAGGUUGGGUCGACAUCCUUUUCUUAAAACUCAUGUAGGUGGUAGUACACACAAAACAACAAGACCUGGAUAGUCUUCAACUUGUAGCAUACUGUGUAAUCAACUGAAUCCACCGAUCAACAUUCUUCCAUUACAAUUGGUACUGUUGUGUGGGAUCCUUAAAGCCUCAGCAAAUCCAGGACUCCAACUGCUGACUCUUGAUGGUCAAUGCUGCCAACGAUCAUAAGUGAACUAGCUGCCUUGUCUUGUGACCUGUAAGUGGUCCCAACAACAAUCUAACCACCGGCAAACUCCAUUGUUUCUGGAAUGGCUAUUUCAAUAUUCAAACUACUAUUUCUUCUACAUCAUCUUUCUCUCCAGUAGGCGCAUUUCAAGUUACCAUGUUGAAACUCCAGUGACUACAUUGCCGAAUAACUGGUUGAACCUUCAGUUACCAUAUUAGAACAUACCUUUUUAAGGAGAGAAGACAUGAAUUAAUAAAACCUCCGGAUCAGUACUUAAGAGUGAAAGAGCCUUGCCGACUUAGUUAUUUCCAUUUCUGUUCGGUGAGCUCAGUAAUUUCCACUAACUGGCACACUCACGCUGAAGUGGCACAGCUGCUGCACAGAAAUCUGGUGAAAUCCCAAAAAAUAGACCCUUAAAGUCGGUCUGAAUACCGAUAAGUGAACAUUCGAAAGCGUCCUAGUCCACGAAUGUCGGUUUUGCAGAAGCGCUGGGGAAACGAUAAAAUACGCACCUCUCUGUCGACACACUUGGAGGGACCUGAGGAGUGCUGGCUGACUUCGGCGGAGUUGCAGUGCUCACGCCAACUUUGCCAUUCCUGGCAACAACCUCAGCUCACCAUGGAUUCCGUUCGAUGUGUCCACGCGAUCGGUAACUCCGCAAGCUUAACAGCUGGUUACCGGCGAUUGAGCUAUCUCACCAGCCCUGCGACCCCACCGUCGGUCGCAGGCUUCAGGCUCAACCAUGCAUACCUAUCGUCUACCCUGCACUGCCACGAAUCGGCUCCUCCGCACCAGCGAACGACGAAGGGUUUGCGCCCCUCUCCGAUUCGCGGUGUGAUGGCGCCUCAGUGGGAAGCGCCGAGUGCUGAAGACCUCACACCUUCUGUCUCGCUACCAGCUACGAAGCUGUGUUUUCUCCUGGUGUGCGAUGGGUUGAACUCCAUGGAGCAACGGGCUUACCUCAAGCUGCAAGAGCGCGGUCAUGAGGUCUUGGUGCAUAUCUGGAGGGACGGGGUUGAACUCCAUGGAGCAACGGGCUUACCUCAAGCUGCAAGAGCGCGGUCAUGAGGUCUUGGUGCAUAUCUGGAGGGACGGCGAAACGAUGAUCGCCGAUGUCCAACAUAUCCAACCCGACGUCAUUCUGUGUCCAUUUCUCCACGAAACGCAUCCCCUCUGACAUCAAGGUUCCAUGUCUCGUCAUCCAUCCUGGAAUUGAAGGCGAUCGGAGUGUGUCGUCCAUUGACUAUUGCAAUAGUCGCAGCCUAUCGGUAGAUUCAUUCAUCCACCUCGACACUCACUGGAACAGUAACUCCGUUCCUGAUUCCAGGUAUAUGUAACAGUCUCCGUUUCUUGUAAUACUCUCCUGUUUUAUCAACGUAUGUAUGUAUGUAUGUAUGUAUAUAAUUACUUACAUAAUAGGAGUUACAUAGAUGUAGGUAAAUUUGAGAUUAUCUUGUAGAGAAGUUUUAUAGAUGUGGAUUUGACUUUAUAAGUAUUUGUGUAUAACUUUUACAUUGAAAAUUUAAUAAAUAAGUCAGCUAAGUGUCAC